UACGUAGGGUGCAAGCGUUGUCCGGAAUUAUUGGGCGUAAAGGGCUCGUAGGCGGUCUGUCACGUCGGGAGUGAAAACUCGGGGCUUAACCCCGAGCCUGCUUCCGAUACGGGCAGACUAGAGGUAUGCAGGGGAGAAUGGAAUUCCUGGUGUAGCGGUGAAAUGCGCAGAUAUCAGGAGGAACACCGGUGGCGAAGGCGGUUCUCUGGGCCUUACCUGACACUGAGGAGCGAAAGCGUGGGGAGCGAACAGG
This 253-nucleotide ribosomal RNA is filed under the name uncultured bacterium. RNAcentral describes it as "partial 16S ribosomal RNA". It matches the Rfam family "Bacterial small subunit ribosomal RNA", at positions 524 to 776 of the family's 1533-position model. The record is from RNAcentral.